UUUUAAACGCCUUAUAUGUUUUAGACGUAUGGCGGGUCUAGGCACGUGCCGGGCGGGCUUCCGCUGGGUCCCGGGGCGUGACAGAUUAAUUUGGUAUCAGAGACUAGGGUUGAGUCUUAGGGGACCUAGUAGACCUUAGGCCGGUUGGACUAUAGGAAAUAGGCUCGUGAGAGACGAGGUCUAUUUGACUUGUAAGCGAAAGUAUCUGAAUUGGGUAUCUUGGAUAACUCUAGAAAAUGAAGUUAAAUCGGAGUGUUUGACUUCUAACUUCGCGGAGCGUUACGUUGGCGGCCGACAACGUAAUAUUGGGAGUUAGUAGUGUAGAACACUUCUUUACUUUCGCAUGAUUUGGGGUUUGUCUUUUGAGCGGGGAUGCGAUAGCGUGAGUAUUUCUAACUUGCGCUUUUAUGAUGUUAUAGUGACGAUGCCGAUUACUCGCUCCCAAUCUGCCGGGGCGGACAAUGCGGCAAACUUCGAGGAGGUCGAGACCUCCGCUACCUCCGGAUCCAGCGAGGUCUGUGAGUUGAGGGGCCAGCUUGCGGCCCUCACUGAUUUAGUCACUCAGCAGGCGGAGGCUGCCCGACAGCAGACUGAGGCUGCGCACCGACAGGAGGCGCGGAUGAAGCGCCUGGAGGACUUACUCUUGUAGCAAGCAGCAGCUUCUAGGGAGACGCAGGCCCCUACACCGCCAGCACCAGUUGUGGACGUCGCACCGAGAGCGCCAUCCCCCGCGCCUAGUUCUUCGCGUGCGGCGCCUGUGGCCGCACCCCAGGAGGAGGUUUUGGUGGCACCACCUGUGCAGAGGCCCUCG
This 811-nucleotide long non-coding RNA is filed under the name Ananas comosus (pineapple). Its description in RNAcentral is "long non-coding RNA (ACOM_LNC016897)". Lineage: Eukaryota; Viridiplantae; Streptophyta; Magnoliopsida; Poales; Bromeliaceae. The record is from RNAcentral.